UAGGGAAUCUUCGGCAAUGGGGGGAACCCUGACCGAGCAACGCCGCGUGAGUGAAGAAGGUUUUCGGAUCGUAAAGCUCUGUUGUUAAGGAAGAACGAGUGUGAGAAUGGAAAGUUCAUACUGUGACGGUACUUAACCAGAAAGGGACGGCUAACUACGUGCCAGCAGCCGCGGUAAUACGUAGGUCCCGAGCGUUGUCCGGAUUUAUUGGGCGUAAAGCGAGCGCAGGCGGUUAGAUAAGUCUGAAGUUAAAGGCAGUGGCUCAACCAUUGUAGGCUUUGGAAACUGUUUAACUUGAGUGCAGAAGGGGGGAGUGGAAUUCGAUGUGUAGCGGUGAAAUGCGUAGAUAUAUGGAGGAACACCGGUGGCGAAAGCGGCUCUCUGGUCUGUAACUGACGCUGAGGCUCGAAAGCGUGGGGAGCGAACAGG
This 429-nucleotide ribosomal RNA is filed under the name Bacteroidota bacterium. Its description in RNAcentral is "Bacteroidetes bacterium partial 16S ribosomal RNA". It matches the Rfam family "Bacterial small subunit ribosomal RNA", at positions 355 to 776 of the family's 1533-position model. The record is from RNAcentral. Lineage: Bacteria; Pseudomonadati; Bacteroidota.